RNAcentral lists this ribosomal RNA (253 nucleotides) under uncultured bacterium. RNAcentral describes it as "partial 16S ribosomal RNA". It matches the Rfam family "Bacterial small subunit ribosomal RNA", at positions 524 to 776 of the family's 1533-position model. The record is from RNAcentral.
UACGGGGGGGGCAAGCGUUGUUCGGAAUUACUGGGCGUAAAGGGCUCGUAGGCGGCCGCUUAAGUCAGACGUGAAAUCCCUCGGCUCAACCGGGGCACUGCGUCCGAGACUGAAUGGCUUGAAUCCGGGAGAGGGAUGCGGAAUUCCAGGUGUAGCGGUGAAAUGCGUAGAUAUCUGGAGGAACACCGGUGGCGAAGGCGGCCAACUGGACGAAUACUGACGCUGAGACUCGAAAGCGUGGGGAGCAAACAGG